CAGGAUUACUGGAACGUGAUCUGGAUUUUGUGACUGGAGUUUGCAGAAGAGUUUUCAGAAACUCUAUAACAAGGGCUACAAGCUACAAGCUGAAUUUAGAGGAAUUCAACAUGAAGACAAGGAUAUGCUGCACUAUGGUAGCAUUAGCAGAAAGCUAUCUAGAAUGCCUGGACUUGCCCCCAGUAAGCAUUAGCAGAAAGCUAUCUAUCUAGAAUGCCUGGACUUGCCCCCAGUCCUACUUUGCCACAGGAACCUGAGCAUACAGCAGCUCCUCUCCACUGUGUCUGCACAGUGCCCCAUGACCUCCGUAUUCCCUCCUGGAAUCUUUCAGUAGGUCUGGUAAGUCAAUACCAUGGCUUACAGCUAUUUCUUAGGCAUUUUUACAGAUUCACAUGACCCACUGCUCUUGUUUCUGACUUCUCUGCAGCUUGCUUAAAUGGCAUGUGGUUGGCGCCAACAGUUAUUUUUUUUUCUUGAUUGACUGCUGCUGAUUCCUGCCCUAACCUUGAAUUUAAAGACACAGAAUUGUUACUGCAAGUGUUUCAUCUCAGAAGACACCUGCCUUCUGUAAAAAACUAGUUUUGACUUAGAUUCUUACGCUAGCUGAGAUUUUUUUUGUCUCCAUGCUCAGUCCAGUUUUGAGAAAACCUGUGCAAUAAUUCCUGGUGACAUCAGAGAAGCUGCAUCUUGCACGUACCUUACUAGUACAGAUCACAUCUUAAAAUCUUCGCUCACGUCCUCUUCAACAAGAAGAGAUAAAGAGCAGAACUCUUACUAAACCACUCUGUUCCUAUUGAAGAUCUCUAUAUACUCAUACAUUCUCAGGUGCCCACUGAUAAUAAACUUGUAUCACACAGCCA
RNAcentral lists this long non-coding RNA (860 nucleotides) under Chrysolophus pictus (golden pheasant). Its description in RNAcentral is "lncRNA (ENSCPIG00010013132.1)". Lineage: Eukaryota; Metazoa; Chordata; Aves; Galliformes; Phasianidae. The record is from RNAcentral.